UUGCUAAACAGUUGGUGGGCAAGUGAGUGU
Molecule: non-coding RNA, 30 nt
Filed under: Homo sapiens (human)
Lineage: Eukaryota; Metazoa; Chordata; Mammalia; Primates; Hominidae
Source: RNAcentral